UAUUGGACAAUGGGCGAAAGCCUGAUCCAGCCAUGCCGCGUGAGCGAAGAAGGCCUUCGGGUUGUAAAGCUCUUUCGGCGGGGACGAAACGGUUCGUGCUAAUACCACGGACUACUGACGGUACCCGCAGAAGAAGCACCGGCUAACUACGUGCCAGCAGCCGCGGUAAUACGUAGGGUGCAGGCGUUAAUCGGAAUUACUGGGCGUAAAGCGUGCGCAGGCGGUUUGUUAAGACAGGUGUGAAAUCCCCGGGCUUAACCUGGGAAUUGCGCUUGUAACUGGCAGACUGGAGUGUGGCAGAGGGGGGUGGAAUUCCAAGUGUAGCAGUGAAAUGCGUAGAUAUUUGGAGGAACACCGAUGGCGAAGGCAGCCCCCUGGGCUAACACUGACGCUCAUGCACGAAA
RNAcentral lists this ribosomal RNA (404 nucleotides) under uncultured bacterium. RNAcentral describes it as "bacterial SSU rRNA". It matches the Rfam family "Bacterial small subunit ribosomal RNA", at positions 362 to 758 of the family's 1533-position model. The record is from RNAcentral.